GAUGAAGAACGUAGCGAAAUGCGAUAAGUAGUGUGAAUUGCAGAAUUCAGUGAAUCAUCGAAUCUUUGAACGCACAUUGCGCCCCUUGGUAUUCCAUGGGGCAUGCCUGUUCGAGCGUCAUUUGUACCUUCAGCUCUGCUUGGUGUUGGGUGUUUGUCUCGCCUCUGCGUGUAGACUCGCCUUAAAACAAUUGGCAGCCGGCGUAUUGAUUUCGGAGCGCAGUACAUCUCGCGCUUUGCACUCAUAACGACGACGUCCAAAAGUACAUUUUUACACUCUUGACCUCGGAUCAGGUAGGGAUACCCGCUGAACUUAAGCAUAUCAAUAAGCGGAGGA
Molecule: unclassified non-coding RNA, 336 nt
Filed under: soil metagenome
Description: partial contains 5.8S ribosomal RNA, internal transcribed spacer 2, and large subunit ribosomal RNA
Rfam family: 5.8S ribosomal RNA (bases 1-120)
Source: RNAcentral